Coccinella septempunctata (seven-spotted ladybird) is the source of this 701-nucleotide long non-coding RNA. RefSeq lists it as uncharacterized. The record is from RefSeq and is a predicted model, not a curated record. The transcript has 3 exons. NCBI's taxonomy places the organism in Eukaryota, Metazoa, Arthropoda, Insecta, Coleoptera, Coccinellidae.
CAAUAAAUCUGGCUCAAAUUAUCAAUGUCGGUCCUAUAAUUUACAGAGUUACACGUCUUUAUAUAAAACAUUUCGGCAAAAGAUCUUUUAAUAUAAUUUUUCUCUUUGUGCAAAAUUUCAACAUUAUCGAGAUUAAAAUCGAACAUGUGUCCUGUACUAAGAUGAUGAUAGACUAGGGCCGUUUUGUUGUCAGAGGGAUGCUUAAUCGAAUAUUUGUGAUCAGAUAUUCUCUUACAAAGAUGUUGCCUAGUUGUUCCUACAUAACUUUGUUGACAAUGUAGACAAUUGAUCUUAUGUAUCAGAUAAGAUUCCCAUUUUUUAGGAACUUUGUCCUUUAGUUUAGUAAAGAACACUUUUUCGAAAGUGUUGUCACUCCAAGUUAUGAACUUCAUGUUUUCUUUCUUUAAAACUCUUUUCAGAUUGUGUGUCAAAUUUGGAAUAAGUGGAAGUUUAACAAAUUUAACAAUAUCAUUGUCUAUGUUAUUUGGGCGAAUAUCGUUGACUGGAAUAGCAUUAGGAAUUCUAGAAGGUUCCAUCUAAUCUAGUUUUUAGUGCCUGUGUGAUGUCGAAACAUUUGAAUUACCAAUAUUAUUGUAAAAGUAUUUAUUUCGCCUGAAGAAGAGAUAAAUCCCAUCUCGAAACUGUCGCGAUUUAAGUAAUUUGCAAAUAGAAAUUUUGCCAAUUCACCAUUUUUUUUUAUU